Molecule: ribosomal RNA, 253 nt
Filed under: uncultured bacterium
Lineage: Bacteria
Description: partial 16S ribosomal RNA
Rfam family: Bacterial small subunit ribosomal RNA
Source: RNAcentral
UACGGAGGGUGCAAGCGUUAUCCGGAUUCACUAGGUUUAAAGGGUGCGUAGGUGGUUUUGUAAGUCAGUGGUGAAAGCCCGGAGCUCAACUCCGGAACUGCCAUUGAUACUGCUUAACUUGAAUCAACUUGAGGUGGAUGGAAUAUUACAUGUAGCGGUGAAAUGCUUAGAUAUGUAAUAGAACACCGAUUGCGAAGGCAGUUCACUAAGGUUGUAUUGACACUGAGGCACGAAAGCGUGGGGAUCAAACAGG